AGAGUUUGAUCAUGGCUCAGAAUCAACGCUGGCGGCGUGCCUAACACAUGCAAGUCGAACGCGAAAGCCCCUUCGGGGGUAAGUAGAGUGGCGUCCGGGUGAGUAACACGUAGGUAAUCUACCUUCGGGUGGGGAAUAACGUCUCGAAAGAGACGCUAAUACCGCAUAAUGCAGCGGCACCUAAUGGUGAUUAGUUGUUAAAGCGGGGGACCCUCGGGCCUCGCGCCUGAAGAGGAGCCUGCGGCAGAUUAGCUUGUUGGUGAGGUAAUGGCUCACCAAGGCUUCGAUCUGUAGCUGGUCUGAGAGGACGGCCAGCCACACUGGCACUGACACACGGGCCAGACUCCUACGGGAGGCAGCAGUGGGGAAUUUUGGGCAAUGGGCGAAAGCCUGACCCAGCAACGCCGCGUGAGGGAGGAAAUCCUUCGGGAUGUAAACCUCACAAGCAAGGGAAGAGAGCGAGGGGGCGAAUAACUCCCUCGUCCGACGGUACCUUGCGUAAGCCACGGCUAACUACGUGCCAGCAGCCGCGGUAAUACGUAGGUGGCAAGCGUUGUUCGGAAUUAUUGGGCGUAAAGGGCGCGUAGGCGGUCGGUUAAGUCAGCUGUGAAAGCCCGGGGCUCAACCCCGGAGGGUCGGCUGAUACUGAUUGACUAGAGUACGGAAGAGGUAGCUGGAAUUUCCGGUGUAGCGGUGAAAUGCGUAGAUAUCGGGAGGAACACCUGAGGCGAAAGCGGGCUACUGGGCCGAUACUGACGCUGAUGCGCGAAAGCCAGGGGAGCGAACGGGAUUAGAUACCCCGGUAGUCCUGGCCCUAAACGAUGGACACUUGGUGUGUCGGGUUUUACAGUCCCGGCGUGCCGGAGCUAACGCGUUAAGUGUCCCGCCUGGGGAGUACGGUCGCAAGGCUGAACUCAAAGGAAUUGACGGGGACCCGCACAAGCGGUGGAGCAUGGUGGUUUAAUUCGACGCA
This 973-nucleotide ribosomal RNA is filed under the name uncultured bacterium. RNAcentral describes it as "bacterial SSU rRNA". It matches the Rfam family "Bacterial small subunit ribosomal RNA", at positions 8 to 958 of the family's 1533-position model. The record is from RNAcentral.